This is a long non-coding RNA of Oncorhynchus tshawytscha (Chinook salmon), 730 nucleotides long. RefSeq lists it as uncharacterized. The transcript has 3 exons. The record is from RefSeq and is a predicted model, not a curated record. NCBI's taxonomy places the organism in Eukaryota, Metazoa, Chordata, Actinopteri, Salmoniformes, Salmonidae.
UCGCAGUUGCAAAUGAGAACUUGUUCUCAACUAGCCUACCUGGUUAAAUAAAGGUGAAAUAAAAAAAAAUAAAAAAGGGAGCAACUCAGUGAUUUUCCUACGGAACACAACAACACUUCAGUUUGUCUGUAAAAGGAACGGAGGCUAAAACUUGCCCAUCUAAAUACAGUCAAGGAAUUACACCAAGCUGUUACCGACGGGUGUAACCAUGCCUUGAGUAGGAUCGCAGACCUCAGUGCUAAGUCCAAAGAGUACAGAACAGGCCCUCACAUGGAGGAAACAGCAGCCGCUAUACCAGAUGUCAUUGAAGAACUACAGUUCGUCUUUGAUGCCGUAGAGUUUCAAAACCAAACAGCUAUGUUGAUCAUGAACACCUUGGAACGUGAUAUCACCAACUGUCAACAACGGAUGGAGCCAACAGUGGAAACUCAUUCUACUCUGUUCACAACCAGACAGGAGAAAAUGGAGGAAACCAACGUAACUAAACACUGGGUCAUUUGGUUGAAUACAAGGUGGUUUGGUUUAUGUUGUACUCACUGUAUUUGACUUUAGUAUCACUGUUAUUCCUAAUACAGAGCAUUUAGCUGGAAUUGUGGAUUUUAUCUCUUGAGACCAUGUACAAUUCUGAUUCCCCUGAAAUGUUGACUUGCCACUUGUUUUAACGUCAGGUAGGCUGAGUGCUUGAAACUAAAAAUGUUUUGAUUUCAAACAUGCCCAUUGGCAUUUGUUU